GAUGAAGAACGUAGCGAAAUGCGAUACGUAGUGUGAAUUGCAGAAUUCAGUGAAUCAUCGAAUCUUUGAACGCACAUUGCACCUCUCGGUAUUCCGGGAGGUAUGCCUGUUCGAGCGUCAUUUGUACCCUCAAGCUCUGCUUGGUGUUGGGUGUUUGUUCCGCCUCUGUGUGUGAACUCGCCUCAAAACAAUUGGCAGCCGGCCUACUGGUUUCGGAGCGCAGCACAAGUCGCACUCUCUAUCAGCAAAGGUCUAGCAUCCAUUAAGCCUUUUUUUCAACUUUUGACCUCGGAUCAGGUAGGGAUACCCGCUGAACUUAAGCAUAUCAAUAAGCGGAGGA
RNAcentral lists this unclassified non-coding RNA (340 nucleotides) under soil metagenome. RNAcentral's name for it is "partial contains 5.8S ribosomal RNA, internal transcribed spacer 2, and large subunit ribosomal RNA". The stretch from base 1 to 120 matches the Rfam family "5.8S ribosomal RNA", at positions 35 to 154 of the family's 154-position model. The record is from RNAcentral.